GUCCACGCCCUAAACGAUGCUUACUCGACGUAUGGCACUAGAUGUUGUGCGUCCAAGGGAAACCGUUAAGUAAGCCACCUGGGGAGUACGACCGCAAGGUUGAAACUCAAAGGAAUUGACGGGGUCCGCACAAGCGGUGGAGCAUGUGGUUUAAUUCGAUGAUACGCGAGGAACCUUACCUGGGCUAGAAUGCGAGUGACGGAUCGGGAAACCGGUCUUUCUUCGGAACACAAAAGCAAGGUGCUGCAUGGCUGUCGU
Molecule: ribosomal RNA, 258 nt
Filed under: uncultured bacterium
Lineage: Bacteria
Description: partial 16S ribosomal RNA
Rfam family: Bacterial small subunit ribosomal RNA
Source: RNAcentral